CUGCACAUCUGGAAUUGAGCCUGGAAGCUGCUCUGCCCUUCCUCGAGGAGGACACCAGAGAAAACAGCUUUGCACAUUGCCCAGCAGCACUGUGGCCAUGAGCUGUUCUCCUCCUGUGAUGCACAGCAUGACCCAGUCUGGAUGCUCUGCCAGCAAUGUUGUGAACUGGAGAUCGCAAUCUACAGCUGGCUUUGGACGGCAUGGUGAGAUCGAGCCUAAAGAAGCCAAAAGCAAAGAAGCAGCAGAAGGAAGGAGAGACCUUGGGAAAGACCCAGACACACAUGCAAGUGAACAUUAAAGCAACAUCAGGCAUAUAUGCGAGAAGGAAAAUAACCUUUUCAGAAAUCACAGAUUCAUCCUUUGAUGCCACCAUUCAGUAUCAACCUUCAGUACCAGAGGGGAGACAGCCCCUGGACUGCACUGGAGGUGGAGGACCAUGCACUGAGAAGCAGGUGGAAACUGUAACACACAAUUUCCUAUUGGAGGUUCCUUGUUUUGACAAAAAAUCCAUUUUCCAUUGAGCAGAGAUUUAAACAUUCCUGCCUGCUGUAUGAGCAAUGAAGAGCAUCCAUCACACCGGGGGGAGGGAGGAGUGGGUCAUGAAAAGGGAAUUUGGGGGCUCUAUGUGAAAUGUUGGCAAACUUUACGUCUCCUACAUGGAAGGAUCUAGAAACCAGCCCUGAGCAAAGCAAUGUGGAGGAAAGGUUAUUCCUAUGUUUUUCAUCAGCCACAAUGAAAAGCCUGAUUUGCUGUGAUUGCUGCUGAUGUGAUUGCUUUGACAUCUUUAGAUUUGUUCACACUCUUAGUCCAAAUAUGUGCUAUUUUAGAAAUUGAUACAAUGCAGAAUAUAAAAAGCACAGAUUCAACACUUGCACUAAAUUCAAUCAAAAUUUUAAAGCAAUCUCUACAGUAGUAUUAAAAUUACAGAUAUUAGCAAUCAAUUGAUAAAUUCACAUCAUAAACAGAAUUUGCAUUAUGCAUUUUCUCCUUAUGCCUUCCAUUUUCCAUGCAAAUAAGUAACUAACCCUUGUAACAAAAUACUAUUAUUGCAUAACAAAUUCCAUUUUUCUGUAAGGAGGUAAAAAGCUUCUGCACCAAAAUUGGUCAUUUUUUAAAUGGCAAAAGCAAUAAAAUCACAGACACAGUGUCAAGCUGACUGCAUUUCCAUGGCAGAAAUGGUUUUAUCUCUUGGUCCUAGAAAUGUCUCUUUCACAGAAGGAAAUACCCCAACCCAAACAGCUGUAAGGAGCUGUUUUAACCUUGCACUACUCCCAGUUUCAUACACUUCUCAAAUCCAGGCUGAUUUUAACUUGAACUCUACCCAUGGAUGCGCACUGAACAAAUUAAUUUCCAUCCUAGGCUAUUGUUAGUCAACGGUUUUGCUUCAAAUACACUUAGAGGGGUUUUCCCCCAACUUGAAC
Long non-coding RNA from Pezoporus occidentalis (night parrot), 1421 nucleotides. RefSeq lists it as uncharacterized. The record is from RefSeq and is a predicted model, not a curated record. The transcript has 5 exons. NCBI's taxonomy places the organism in Eukaryota, Metazoa, Chordata, Aves, Psittaciformes, Psittacidae.